GCUGAUCGGGUGCGGGUGCGACUGCCUGUGUGCCUCCAUUGGCAUCUCUGCCUGUGGGCCCCAGGCCAGAACAGAGAAGAGAGUGGCCCAUUCGGUGUCCACCCGUCAGGCCACCCAGCAGCCAGGCACGCUCAUAAGCCCGCGUUACGGAUGGUGCGGCCGGGUGCACAGGCCCGAGGGAAGCACAGGCCUCGGCCUCCCAGCUCCCAACCCCUGCACCACCCACAGCCGGGAGUACCCCAUGGACAGCUGUGGCCGAGGAGAAGCCAGGGAUGAGGGGGAUGGGCCUCACCUCCCCACCAGCCUGGGAAGGGGGUAGGCCCCUGGCAAGUAGGCCCCUCCUUUGCGGCUGCUGUGGGGACUUUCGAGAGCAGAGCACACCCCUAAGUGCGUGGAGAGGUAAGCACAGCUGGUGAGCACACGGGGACAGCGACGGAGCUCAUGGAGACCCAGGAGGGAAGCUGAGGCUCAGAGACAUCAUGAGGAUGCCAGCUCAAGGCCCAGCCAGGCCUUGGUCCUCAGCUGCUGUCAUCCAGUAGGGUAAGUGGGACCCCCAGGAGGUGUUGGGGGACACUCCUCCCCUCCCCCACACUCACAGUCUGUUCACCGCCCAAGGCAGCAGGCUGGACUCGGUGCAGGGACCAUGGCUUGGCGUGGCCAGGUUGGAGUGGCCCCUGGGACUGAAAGCAGGGGGCGUGGGGGCUCUGAGGCGGGGCCGAGUGCGGGGACGUCCUGUGGCGGGUACCCUGCUGGGUCCUGGGUGGGGGCCACCACCAGGCAGCUGUGGGAACAUUCCAGACCACCUAGGAGUAGGGCCCCUUCACCGUUUGAAGCUGACUGUAAAAAACAUCUGACCUGUGUGCAAAGCUCAAGCCCAGAGGCCUCCAGGGUGUCCAGCCUCCAGGGUGCCUCCUACGCAGCCUCCACGUCCCCAUCCACUGCAGCCCCUGACCAUCGGGCACACCGUGGGGCCUUCGCUGGCCGCCGGGCCUCAGGUUCUGCUGCACCAAGUGAUUUUUAAAGCCCCAUCUGCCUUUCUCCACUUAUAAAGAACUUGGGACAUUUCCUCGAGGUUGGGCAUUUUUCCAGAUGUGGUUUCAGUGUCUCGCUUGCUACCUGGUCCCCUGUGCUGGGCGGUCCGCUGUGACGCACCUGGCAGUCCUUGCUCUAGGAUGGAUUCGGGCCGGCCCUUGUUCUGAGAACAGAGAACGGCCCUUGUUCUGAGGAGGCUGGGGUCUGGAAUCUGCUUCCUGGUCCCCUGCUGUGUGCAGACAGCCACCGUCACCCAGGCCCAGGGGUGCCUGCAGGUGCUGGGCAUCUCACCCUGGCCCCCACAGGGGCUCCCCAUGCCCUGCACCCCUCGGUCUGUGCCGGGGACUUCCCUGCUCUGCUGUUGCAGGCCUCGUCCUUUGCCGAGGGGGUCUCUUUCCCACGUGUCCCUGAGACUCCUCAGCCAUCCCAGAGGCUCUCGGCCGUCUGAGCACCCCUGACCAUGAAGCCUUCCUGGCCCACUCUCUGUGUGUGAGGCAGAGCCCAUCCCUACCAUUCCGACCCACACCAGAGGCUCCGGAAGGUUUGCUGACUGACCUGUGACUGCAAGAAGCUGAAGGAAUGUGGGCGCAGACCCGGCAGGGGCUUUUCUUGGUGCAAAGUCAACUGGCUGUCCAUGCAAGCCUGCUGCUGUGGCCAGCCCUCCCGCCAGGCGCCUGGUACCCUCCCUGGACCCAGUUGCCAGGACAGUGAUCCCCAGCUGUGGCCAGGACUCUGCCCGGGGCCCUGUCUACUCAGUGUCUCCAGUGGUCCCCAUGCAGAAACUGCCCCCCUUGCUGCCCAUGAGGCAUGGGAUAGGGUCAGCAUCCGAGAGGCAGGCCCUGCUGUUCCCCUCUGCACAGAGGCUGGGGGAGUGAGUUGCCCGGGCAAGUCCCCGGGCAGGCACUGGGCCUCCUGAGCAGGUGAGCUGAGAAGGCCCCAGCUGGUGUAGGCCUCGAGAGCUGCAGGACUGGCCAUGGGGCAGACCUGGCAUUGUCAUUCUAGAGCUGGGCCUGGGGGGUGGCUGGUGCAGUGCAGAUCUCAGGUGGAGGCCACCUGCCCGUCCUUUCCACGUGGCUCAGGGCUCAGACCCACCUGCCUGUCCCUGGAAGCCCCUAGACUGCUCAGAGCACAGACCUCAGUGGGAAAGACAGUAGAUAGGCCUGGGUAUGGUCUCCCAGCCCUGAGAAGUGGGGAGCCCACUCAGACCUUUCCAGGACCCCAGGUCCCCUCAGCAGCCCACAGAGCGUGGGUGGAGCCUGGGCUGGGGUUGGGUCACUUGGGAGCCAAAGGCCCAUUUCUGCUGCUUCCAGGGAGUCCCAGGGAGACGGCAGAGGCAGUGCCUGGCUGGGGCCCUGGUUGGCGUGCCGUUUGAGGGGUGCAUGCACUGGGAAGUUGGCCAGGCCUGCCCAAAUCAGGGGGCUUCCAGGAGGAGAGACAUCAGGAGGAUGGGCACAGAGGCGGCUUAGCACCAGGGCUGGCACCUCCAGAGGGACAAUGUUGGUGUCCCAAAGCACAGUCCUUUGCCCCGGAGGAGCCACCGGCAGAGCCAGGAGCCCCUGAAGGACUUUGACCACACCCCCCACCCCACCCCGACCUGUGCCUGGUGCCCCAAGUGGAGCCUGGGCCAUCCUUGACCUCACCGCUGGGGUGAUGGAGAAGCAGCCGCCCGAGGCGAGAGUUUCUCAGGUGGCCGGGGUUUCCCCCCAUUUGCUCCAGACACAUUUAAACAAGCUGAGAACUUCCGUCCCCCCAUACUCCCCCCCGCGGACCCCCACGGACCCCCUCUGCAAAUGAACAUGGGCCUGGAAAUCGGGGUGUGGGUUACAGAGAGCACGGGGAAUUCUGCUCGUGAAGUAACACGGAGCACGAACAUAAGCAGGUACCGCACAUCUGCGAGCUAUUCGGGUCUCCGGGGGAAGGCAAAAAGCCCCAACAAGCCUUAAGUAAGACCAGGACGCUUCUAUAGUUUUGCUUUGACAGCUAAGGAAAAAAUCUGCCAAAAACCAGAGGCGCUGCUGAGUGUUGGCGUGGGAAUGCUAGUUUAGUCAGAGCCUUGCUCUGGGCCAUUUAAAUAAAAACAGACAUGUUGGUGGCAAAUGCCAGUUGAACACGCAGGAGAGCGGUGCUUCUCGGGCCCGGAGAAGGGUUUGCAGCUGCACUCUCUCUUCCCUUUUCUCUUGGCCUCCCCAGCCUUCUUAUCAUCACGAUCAGCAUUUCACUGGUAAACAUUUGGUGCAAUAAUUUUCAAAAAUCAGCAAGAAAAGUCUGAGCGUUUCAUGUGGCUGUGACUGCGUGGCCCCAGCUGGAAGCAUGGAUUCCCAGCGCCUCCCAGAGCCUGUCUCCGAGGGAUACUCUAAUCACUUGAGGGCCUUUGCACGACAUAAAUCAGACCGACUAUCUCUAGAGUGGAGAGGGGGAUAAACUCACUUGUAGCAAGUGAAGGCCAGAGGCUGCCCUGGGAUGGCAUUGCCUGUUCCCAGGGGCUUGUGGUGGUGCAGCAGACAUGGGGACCCCUGGGCCCCUUCCCCUCCUUGCUGGGGAUGCCACACAGACCCACGUUCAGGGACCUGAAUUCAGAGCCUGCCCCAGGGGUGGCGAAUGUAUCUGGGACACUGAGGACCCCCCUACCGGGUGCAUCUCAUGGCCUUUUGGUCUUUUUUUUUGAGACGGAGUCUCACUUUGUUGCCCAGGCUGGAGUGUCAUGGGGCGAUCUCCGCUCACUACCACCUCCGCCUCCCGGGUUCAAGCAAUUCUCCUGUCUCAGCCUCCGAGUAGCUGGGAUUACAGGUAUGUGCCACCACGCCAGCUAAUUUUUCUAUUUUUAAUAGAGAUAGGGUUUCACCAUGUUGGUCAGGCUGGUCUUGAACUCCUAACCUCGGGUGAUCUGCCUGCCUUGGCCUCCCGAAGUGUUGGGAUUACAGGCGUGAGCCACUGCACCUGGCCAGCCUUUUGGUCUUGAAGGGUCUCUGGGAGGGCCUCAGAGAAUGUCUUGGUUUCCUCACUCUUGGGUUCCCAUCGACUGAGGUCAGGGCUGGGAAGGGGUGAUGAGCCCAGGACUCUUCUGGCGAGAGCGAGGGUCUAUGUUGGGGGGCUCCCUUCUGCCACCUCUCCUUGGUGACAUGGGGCUGGCUGGAGAGUCCCUCCGUGCCUGGGAGUUCCUCAGUGUAGGGGGGGAAGGGGGCCACUGCAAUGAAUCUGACACCAGCCCCCUCUCUCUCCGCCCUGCUGGCAGCCCUCACUCAUAUGGGGGGCGGGUCUGUCCUCCUUUCCCCAAAGCUGGGGGUCCUGAGUGUGGUUGGGGUAACGUCUGGUCCUCCUUAGAACAGUGGGGCUUGGAAUUCAUUCAAGGGAAGAAGAGUGAAGGAACGCAGAUGCCGACUGCAUGGAGCCCCCCCGGGCUGCAGCCCCUAGAGCCUGGGCGCUCUGUGAGCCAGAAAGAGAACGGCUGGGGAGAGGGCUGUGUGAGGCCCUGUUCUUCCAAGACCGCUGCGGAGGACCGACGGGGCCCAGGGACCCUGACUGAGGUGUGCCGAGCACAGCAGCUCUGGACAGGCCGCACCGGCCUCUCUGUCUGUCAUCUGUCCACCUGUUGGUGGGCAGGAACAGACCUGAUGCUGUAAGAAGAGGCCCCCAGGACCCUGCCUCUCCCAUUGGCUGAGCCUGGACUGUGGAGCCAGCCGCCCUCACACUGGGCACAGAUGACCGACUUAGGUUUUGAGAAGAUCCAAACAGCAGCAGGACGUGCACCUGGUAGGGGUAGGAGGGCCUCCCCUGGACUCAAAAGUGUAUUCGCGGAGCCCCUUCCCUGCAGCGUAGGCUCUGGGGGGACAGUGGCCAGGACGGAGGCCCUCGUGGAAAGGGGGAGAUGUGAACAGUGAGCCUCCUGCAUGCAGGCAUCUGGGAAAGAACAUUCCAGCCAAGUGGCUCUGAGCACACCCCGACCCUGGCCACCCUGGCCCUGUGGACCAACCCUGGGGCCCAGGAUUAAUGACAGCCAGUGCUCGCUGGUGCCUCCAGCCUGGGCCAGGCCUGUGGGCUGGUCCCUUCAAUGAUGGGGCAAGCUCAGCCCCGUCCACACCCUUCUCCUCCUCCUCUGUGCUUCCCUCCACCCCCAGGAGUGGGCUCCAGGUCUGUCACUCGUCACUCAUGGGGGGCUGUGGGUUGACUCGUAUUCCCCCAAAAGACUCGCUGUAUACCCCCAGAGCUUGUGAGCAGGACCUGUUUUGGAGAUGGGUCUUUGCAGAUGUCGUCGAGUUAAGACAAGGCCAUGCUGGAGUGGGGCCUGCCCUAAUCCAACGACUGGGGCCCUUGGCAGGAGAGGGAGGUUUGGGGAGAAGGCGCUGGGAAGACAGGCAGAGGCUGGAGACAGUGCAGCCCCAAGCUGGGAGCACAGGGGUUGCCGGCACCCAACAGAAGCUGGAGGAGGUGGGAAGGAUCCUCCCUAGAGCCUUGGGAGGGGGCCCGGUCCUGUGACACCCAGAUUUUGGAUUUCUGGCCUUCGGAACUGAGAGAGCACACAUUUCUGCGGUUUGAAGCCACCAAAUUUUUGGUAAUUUGUUCUGGCCAGGAAAUUAAUACCAGGGAUAAAGGUGUUUUAAUGCAGACAAAGACAGUUUUUGAAUUAACCAAGCUUUGCGCAAGGCUGCCGGGAUUGACUGGGGGAAGUGAGGGACUCAGCAGCUUCCCCGACGCUCGCCAGGCACCGGCCUCCAUACACGCUUGCUGGCGGUGGCUACGGCAGGUCGCUCUUCAGGUGAAACCACAUAAUGAGCAGCCUUAAGCCUGUCGAUUUACACAGCAGAGGCUGCCUGGCCUGGCGCUCUUCCUGGCUGGAGGACUCUGCCUUCCCCCUCUGCCUGCCUGUGGCCACUCCGGCUGCAGAGGAGACUGGCAGACGACGUUCUCAUCCCUGGUCGGGGCAAAAGUUCUGCUCAAAUAUGACAACGGUGAAACUCGGAAUAGCGACAGAGCCAACCCAUGAUUGAGGCAGGGCUGGAGGCUUUCUGGAAAACGCACGGAGAAACACGAGGGCCCAGCUGUGCCCUGGGCCGCCCCAUGAGUCCAGCCUUCUUCGUCCUAGUCCCUUCUCCAAAGAAAGGACAAAACCACUGAAAGGGUUCGUCUGGGUCACAAACGUCCCAAAUUGGCUUCCGCGUGGAAACUAAACAAGGGUAGGUCCCAGCCCCUGGGAUUCAGGUGAAACCCGAGGCCUGUCUGAGGUCACAGCGUCUUCCCGAGGACGUCAGCCCUGUUGGCUGUGUCUGGGGCCAGGCUGAGGCAUAGCGGGCCAGGAGGCCGAGCUUCCCAAAGGAGCUGCACUGUCUUUUCCUUAGAAUAUGAAAUCAAUGUCUGCCACCUUGAAUCCUCAUGGACAAGACUCCUUGGAAGCCAGCCUGUGUCAGGGCCAGCGUCCCCCAGGGCUGACACCUACACCCUCGCAUUCUCAGCGUGACUCGGGACAGUGGCAGAACCCGCUGGGUUCUCU
This 6517-nucleotide long non-coding RNA is filed under the name Homo sapiens (human). RNAcentral describes it as "non-protein coding NALT1:28". Lineage: Eukaryota; Metazoa; Chordata; Mammalia; Primates; Hominidae. The record is from RNAcentral.